This 497-nucleotide ribosomal RNA is filed under the name uncultured bacterium. RNAcentral describes it as "partial 16S ribosomal RNA". It matches the Rfam family "Bacterial small subunit ribosomal RNA", at positions 28 to 507 of the family's 1533-position model. The record is from RNAcentral.
GAUGAACGCUGGCGGCGUGCCUAAUACAUGCAAGUCGAGCGAACAGAUAAGGAGCUUGCUCCUUUGACGUUAGCGGCGGACGGGUGAGUAACACGUGGAUAACCUACCUAUAAGACUGGGAUAACUUCGGGAAACCGGAGCUAAUACCGGAUAACAUAUUGAACCGCAUGGUUCAAUAGUGAAAGGCGGCUUUGCUGUCACUUAUAGAUGGAUCCGCGCCGUAUUAGCUAGUUGGUAAGGUAACGGCUUACCAAGGCAACGAUACGUAGCCGACCUGAGAGGGUGAUCGGCCACACGGGAGCUGAGACACGGUCCAGACUCCUACGGGAGGCAGCAGUAGGGAAUCUGCCGCAAUGGGCGAAAGCCUGACGGAGCAACGCCGCGUGAGUGAUGAAGGUCUUCGGAGCGUAAAACUCUGUUAUCAGGGAAGAACAAAUGUGUAAGUAACUGUGCACAGCUUGACGGUACCUGAUCAGAAAGCCACGGCUAACUACGUG